RNAcentral lists this non-coding RNA (167 nucleotides) under pig gut metagenome. RNAcentral describes it as "Lysine riboswitch". It matches the Rfam family "Lysine riboswitch aptamer". Rfam says of the family: Riboswitches are metabolite binding domains within certain messenger RNAs that serve as precision sensors for their corresponding targets. Allosteric rearrangement of mRNA structure is mediated by ligand binding, and this results in modulation of gene expression. This family includes riboswitches that sense lysine in a number of genes involved in lysine metabolism, including lysC. The record is from RNAcentral.
UAUGGUAGAGGUGCAGCUGCGAUGAGUAACGUCUGACAGGAAAACCAUUCCGCUUUAUGCAGACGCAAAAGGCAAUGCUGCCGAAGGACGAAUCCUGGUAAAAUUCGUUCUGAUUGCAGUCUUAACAGGAUUGUGAUUGUCAUCAGCGUUUGAUGGAGAGCUAUCGG